RNAcentral lists this ribosomal RNA (446 nucleotides) under uncultured bacterium. RNAcentral's name for it is "partial 16S ribosomal RNA". It matches the Rfam family "Bacterial small subunit ribosomal RNA", at positions 354 to 796 of the family's 1533-position model. The record is from RNAcentral.
GUAGGGAAUAUUGGACAAUGGGGGGAACCCUGAUCCAGCCAUGCCGCGUGGAGGAAGACUGCCCUCUGGGUUGUAAACUCCUUUUAUAUGGGAAGAACCGUCCUCAUUAAUGAGUGACCUGACGGUACCAUAGGAAUAAGCACCGGCUAACUCCGUGCCAGCAGCCGCGGUAAUACGGAGGGUGCAAGCGUUAUCCGGAUUCACUGGGUGUAAAGUGUGCGUAGGCGGAUAAAUAAGUCAGUGGUUAAAUCAACGGGCUCAACCUGUUAACUGCCAUUGAUACUGUGUAUCUUGAAUAUGAGAGAGGUAGGCGGAAUGUUGCAUGUAGCGGUGAAAUGCUUAGAUAUGCUACGGAACACCGAUUGCGAAGGCAGCUUACUAUUUCGUAAUUGACGCUGAGGCACGAAAGCGUGGGUAGCGAACAGGAUUAGAUACCCGAGUAGUCC